AACGAACGCUGGCAGCGUGGAUUAGGCAUGCAAGUCGAACGGGAUCCGGAAGGUAGCCAUACCGGCCGGUGAGAGUGGCGGAAGGGCGAGGCGCACGUGGACAACCUGUCCCGUGGGUGGGGAUACCGUCCCGAAAGGGGCGUUAAUACCGAAUGGUGCCCCGGACCGCAUGGUCCGGCUGCCAAAGGCGGGGGCCGCCACGCCCGCCCCCCCGCGAGGUGUCCGCGCACCAUCAGCUAGUCGGCGGGUUAACGGCCCACCGUGGCUUACGGUUAGCUGGUCUGAGAGGACGACCAGCCGCACUGGGACUGAGACACGGCCCAGACUCCUACGGGAGGCUGCAGUAGAGGAUCAUUCGCAAUGGGCGAAAGCCUGACGAUGCGACGCUGCGUGGAGGAUGAAGGCCCUCGGGUCGUAAAACCCUGUCAUGGGGGGCGAGGCGGAGGCGGUUAACGGCCGCCCGAGUUGACGGUACCCCAAGAGGAAGCCACGGCUAACUCUGUG
RNAcentral lists this ribosomal RNA (504 nucleotides) under uncultured bacterium. Its description in RNAcentral is "partial 16S ribosomal RNA". It matches the Rfam family "Bacterial small subunit ribosomal RNA", at positions 28 to 507 of the family's 1533-position model. The record is from RNAcentral.